CAUCAGAUGACUGAAAGCAAGUAUUGGUCUCUUAAACCAUUUAAUAGUAGGUAUGCAGCUACUUCUGAUGG
Molecule: transfer RNA, 71 nt
Filed under: Rugitermes bicolor
Lineage: Eukaryota; Metazoa; Arthropoda; Insecta; Blattodea; Kalotermitidae
Also listed under: 1 other name
Description: tRNA-Lys
Source: RNAcentral